CAACAAAGAACACAACCCAUACAAAUUACAACAAAAAAUCAAAAUUUUCAACCAUUAAAGGGUUCAUUCUUCUUCUCACACUUUAUGGUACAAACUUUCGCUGUUAGGAGCGACCCUCUCCGCACCUCUUUGAGUUUCUAUCAUCCAACACGAGGAUAUCGAAAUGGUUAUGGGUUUAUUUGGUUCAUCAGUAUAACUUGUUUUCCUUUUAUCUCUAUGGACCUUAAACUUGUCACUGCACCAUCAAUGAUGCAAGCUCCUUUGUUGUUGGUUCUGCAUAUCUGAGUUGUUUGAGAGAAAAAGAAAGAACACGAAAGUGUUAUGGGAGAGAGAAAAUGAUAAUGAAAAAAAAGAAAGUAUUAGGUGUAGACACACAUAUAAUAAGAUUCAUAGGGAAUCAUAAUCCAACGGCUAAUAGAAGUUUCACUAAUUUCUUUCACAAAUAAAAAGUUUCACUAGCUUGCUCACGGUAGGAGACCUGUUAAGGUCUCCCACC
Molecule: long non-coding RNA, 496 nt
Filed under: Medicago truncatula (barrel medic)
Lineage: Eukaryota; Viridiplantae; Streptophyta; Magnoliopsida; Fabales; Fabaceae
Description: long non-coding RNA (MTRU_LNC005749)
Source: RNAcentral